This is a non-coding RNA of Myxocyprinus asiaticus (Chinese sucker), 416 nucleotides long. The record is from the annotation of a RefSeq genome assembly. NCBI's taxonomy places the organism in Eukaryota, Metazoa, Chordata, Actinopteri, Cypriniformes, Catostomidae.
GAAACAUGAUUAUAAUAGCUCUCAUUAAUCUCAUAAUUCUGCAAUAUUCUUCAGGAGCCAGUGAUGUUACACAGAUGCCAAAUAUACUAUGGGUUCCACAGGGCAAAUCUGCACAUAUGAACUGCAGUCAUACUAAGGGUGCAACCUAUCGUUACAUGUAUUGGUUCCAACAACGGCAGCAUGAAUCAAUGAAACUAAUUGCAUUCACUAUGCCAGAGAAGAAUCCAGACUUUGGUGAAUUUUCUGAGGAGAAAUAUUCAGCCAGUAAACCUGCAGCUGAGAGUGGAUCCUUCACAGUGAAAAAGGUGCAGCCUGAUGACAGUGGUGUGUAUUUCUGUGCAGUCAGUGUGCACAGUGACACAGACUUGCUGUACUGCUGUACAAAAACCACAUUAUUAUCCACUUUAUUAUAUUAG